Molecule: ribosomal RNA, 466 nt
Filed under: uncultured ammonia-oxidizing beta proteobacterium
Lineage: Bacteria; Pseudomonadati; Pseudomonadota; Betaproteobacteria
Description: bacterial SSU rRNA
Rfam family: Bacterial small subunit ribosomal RNA
Source: RNAcentral
GGAGGAAAGUAGGGGAUCGCAAGACCUUGCGCUUUUGGAGUGGCCGAUGCCUGAUUAGCUAGUUGGUGGGGUAAGAGCCUACCAAGGCGACGAUCAGUAGUUGGUCUGAGAGGACGACCAGCCACACUGGGACUGAGACACGGCCCAGACUCCUACGGGAGACAGCAGUGGGGAAUUUUGGACAAUGGGCGAAAGCCUGAUCCAGCAAUGCCGCGUGAGUGAAGAAGGCCUUCGGGUUGUAAAGCUCUUUCAGUCGAGAAGAAAAGGUCGCGACUAAUAAUCGCGACUCAUGACGGUAUCGACAGAAGAAGCACCGGCUAACUACGUGCCAGCAGCCGCGGUAAUACGUAGGGUGCGAGCGUUAAUCGGAAUUACUGGGCGUAAAGGGUGCGCAGGCGGCUUUGUAAGUCAGAUGUGAAAUCCCCGGGCUUAACCUGGGAAUUGCGUUUGAAACUACAAAGCUAGA